This is a long non-coding RNA of Cornus florida, 617 nucleotides long. RefSeq lists it as uncharacterized. NCBI's taxonomy places the organism in Eukaryota, Viridiplantae, Streptophyta, Magnoliopsida, Cornales, Cornaceae. The record is from RefSeq and is a predicted model, not a curated record. The transcript has 3 exons.
GAUAAACUACCACUUUUUUUUCUUACAUACAAACUUAAAACUGCAAUCGAGGCUACAUUCAUGGGUUGCUGAGCUUGUUUAACAAAAAAAAUUUCGGAAGAGUGAAUGAAAUACAACUGUCAGAUAUUGCGCGCGGGGAUAUACUUCGAGGAACAUAAUCGUGCAGGUCUGGACUUUAUCAAAACCAGCAACACAUUUCAAAGAUGCAAAAAUCAUAGGUGUGACUAAUGGAAAUGUGGAAGAAGUAUGCGGUGAAAAUGAUUAAGAAGCUGCAGUUAUCUUCCUAAAGCGCAAUGCUGUGCUGUUCUUCCACUUCUAUAAAGAUGGGACUCUAUUGGAAGCAUUCCCAACCAGAGGCGAGAGGAUUAUCGCAGCUAUUCUUGAACACACAUCUCCUACUUCUCAAGAUGUUUAAGCUUAUCUGGUUAUGUCCUUGAACCUUGCUUUCCUUAAAUCAUUGAAUACUUGAUACUAGUGAAUGAGAUAUUAAGUACUUUUUGACAUUGCAUAUACGUGACAUUAUACCAAAGAAUUCUCUCUUUGCCAGAAAGGAAUAUAAUAAUAUUUCCUGUGACAUGCACAGUAUGUUGUUUAUUGCUGUAAUAAUAACAAAUCAU